Molecule: ribosomal RNA, 818 nt
Filed under: uncultured bacterium
Lineage: Bacteria
Description: bacterial SSU rRNA
Rfam family: Bacterial small subunit ribosomal RNA
Source: RNAcentral
GUUUUCUUCGGAAAGCGAGUAGAGUGGCGCACGGGUGAGUAACGCGUAGGUAAUCUACCCUUUUACCUGGGAUAACAUUGGGAAACUGGUGCUAAUACCGGAUACACUUAUCUGCUUUGGGGCAGAUGAGGAAAGGUGGCCUCUUGGUCAAAGCUACUGUAGAGGGAUGAGCCUGCGUACCAUUAGCUAGUAGGUGGGGUAAGGGCCCACCUAGGCGACGAUGGUUAGCGGGUCUGAGAGGAUGAUCCGCCACACUGGAACUGGAACACGGACCAGACUCCUACGGGAGGCAGCAGUGAGGAAUAUUGCGCAAUGGGGGAAACCCUGACGCAGCGACGCCGCGUGAGUGAGGAAGGUCUUCGGAUCGUAAAGCUCUGUCAGAAGGGAAGAAGUGUUAUAUGGUUAAUACCCAUGUAACUUGACGGUACCUUCAGAGGAAGCACCGGCUAACUCCGUGCCAGCAGCCGCGGUAAUACGGAGGGUGCGAGCGUUGUUCGGAAUUACUGGGCGUAAAGGGCGCGUAGGCGGCUGGAUAAGUCAGGUGUGAAAUCCCACGGCUCAACUGUGGAAGUGCAUUUGAAACUGUCCGGCUUGAGUAUCGGAGGGGAGUGUGGAAUUCCCGGUGUAGAGGUGAAAUUCGUAGAGAUCGGGAGGAACACCGGUGGCGAAGGCGACACUCUGGACGCAUACUGACGCUGAGGCGCGAAAGCGUGGGGAGCAAACAGGAUUAGAUACCCUGGUAGUCCACGCCGUAAACGAUGUGAACUAGGGGUAGGUGGUGUUGAUCCCAUCUGUCCCGCAGCUAACGCAUUAAGUUC